RNAcentral lists this unclassified non-coding RNA (305 nucleotides) under Pocillopora damicornis (cauliflower coral). RNAcentral's name for it is "extracellular calcium-sensing receptor-like, transcript variant X3". Lineage: Eukaryota; Metazoa; Cnidaria; Anthozoa; Scleractinia; Pocilloporidae. The record is from RNAcentral.
UUGGACACUUUUCAAACUUGAACGCAAACUGCCUGUCUCUCUUUCCAUGUUAAAGAACCGCCAAGAAAUGUGAAAGCCAGGAACAGGUGUCAUUCUGCUGCAACCAUUGAAACGGCUUCAUUUGGUACCGCAGUAGAUUUGUCGUGUUCAACGGAGAAAGAGAUUUCUAAUAACUGAGUGAUCAACGGUAAAAAAUUUUGGCAUAACAUUUCUUCAACUACUGCGCUUUUUGUAGAUAGAGGUUCCUAACUCACCGAUAAUUGAUGACAGAAUUUUUUGUUGAUAAUAAAGUUCAUGGUUAGCAU